Molecule: ribosomal RNA, 638 nt
Filed under: Staphylococcus arlettae
Lineage: Bacteria; Bacillati; Bacillota; Bacilli; Caryophanales; Staphylococcaceae
Description: bacterial SSU rRNA
Rfam family: Bacterial small subunit ribosomal RNA
Source: RNAcentral
UAACUUCGGGAAACCGGAGCUAAUACCGGAUAACAUUUGGAACCGCAUGGUUCUAAAGUGAAAGAUGGUUUUCUAUCACUAUAGAUGGACCCGCGCCGUAUUAGCUAGUUGGUAAGGUAACGGCUUACCAAGGCGACGAUACGUAGCCGACCUGAGAGGGUGAUCGGCCACACUGGAACUGAGACACGGUCCAGACUCCUACGGGAGGCAGCAGUAGGGAAUCUUCCGCAAUGGGCGAAAGCCUGACGGAGCAACGCCGCGUGAGUGAUGAAGGGUUUCGGCUCGUAAAACUCUGUUAUUAGGGAAGAACAAACGUGUAAGUAACUGUGCACGUCUUGACGGUACCUAAUCAGAAAGCCACGGCUAACUACGUGCCAGCAGCCGCGGUAAUACGUAGGUGGCAAGCGUUAUCCGGAAUUAUUGGGCGUAAAGCGCGCGUAGGCGGUUUCUUAAGUCUGAUGUGAAAGCCCACGGCUCAACCGUGGAGGGUCAUUGGAAACUGGGAAACUUGAGUGCAGAAGAGGAAAGUGGAAUUCCAUGUGUAGCGGUGAAAUGCGCAGAGAUAUGGAGGAACACCAGUGGCGAAGGCGACUUUCUGGUCUGUAACUGACGCUGAUGUGCGAAAGCGUGGGGAUCAA